Salvia splendens (bonfire salvia) is the source of this 1720-nucleotide long non-coding RNA. RefSeq lists it as uncharacterized. The transcript is spliced from 4 exons. Lineage: Eukaryota; Viridiplantae; Streptophyta; Magnoliopsida; Lamiales; Lamiaceae. The record is from RefSeq and is a predicted model, not a curated record.
AUAUUCUUACACAAAUACCUUCGUAUUAACCUUUUUUUACACAAAAAAAUAUCCUUUUGUUUUUAUUCAAACGUUCCAUCAUUCACAAAAACUACUUGAAAACCGAUCUCAAUACUCCACGAUGAAGAAUGUGCAGUAAUUAGCAAAAGAAAGUGUAUGAAUCUGCAAUAAAAACAAUCGCAGGUCUUGUGCUCAAUUGCCCGUUGUUGGAGUCGCGGUGAAUUGCUCGUGAUUGUGGAGCCCUAAUUUUGAUAUAUUCUUCCCAAAUUUAAGGGUGAUUCUCAUAUUUGAGCAACAUUGAGUAGCACAUCCAACGCCCUGAAAUUGUGAAUGAAGGCAAGUGUGAAGAGCAAAAUAUGUCGCAGAAUGAAGGCAAGUGUGAAGAGCAAAAUAUGUCGCGUAAGAUUUGUGUGAGCACAUCAUUGUACCCACUUCUAGAGGAGAUCAAUGGUCAACAUGUUGCAAACCAAAUGGCUAUGCUCAAACGUUUUGUUUUGUUGUCAAGGAAAAUAUGAAAAGAAAAUGUGUCACAUACAUGCAACCAUAUAAGUACCAUGAUAGGUAGGAUCCCUUACCAGGUCAAGCACAUGGAUAGAUUAUUAGAGUCACUUAUAUUGAUUGCUUGGUAAACCUUCGUAUGGAUUGAAACACAUUUGGUUGACUAUGUAUUUUAGCGUAUCACAAAAAGAAUAAGGUAGUUAGGUUUAUUUUUUUGAGGUCUGGACAAACAGUAUCACAUUACGUACAUGUUGUAUUAAAAGCUAUAUUAAAACUACUUGAUGUACAGUUAGUCAAACCUGAACAUGUACCGGACCGAUGUACUGACCCAAGGUGGAAGUGGUUUAAGGGAUGUCUGGGAGCAUUAGAUGAGACUUAUGUCAAUGUAACACUGAGCAAUGAAGACAAGGGGGAUAUAGGACAUGAGCCAGAUUUCCACAAACACUUUGGCCAUAUGUGAUCGAAAUUUGAGGUUUGCGUUGAGAUUGGUGGACUUUGCUUACUAAAAAUAUAAAUAGUGAAGUAGAAGAUCCAUUUCUCUGCAGCCUAACUCAUUCGUUAUACUCCAUUUGUUCCACCAUAAGCGAGUCACUUUCCUUUUCGUGAUGUCCCACCAUAAGUGAGUCAUUUGCCUUUUAAGCAAAAAGUCUUCUCUUUUACUUUUUUUUUCCACCUGUUUUAUUCUUUUCAUCAUCUACUUUUUCAUUUCUCUUACUUUACUCUCUUCACUUUAACUUUUAAAUAUCAUUCCUUAAAUCUCGUGCACAAAAGAAGUGGCUCGCUUAUGGUGGGACUGAGGGAGUAGCAUUCUUGAAACCUUCGGACCCCUAGGCUGAUAAAAUGUGUUUUGAUAUACCAAUACAAAGUAGUUUCUUUUACCAAUCAAAUUGGACCUCCGAUAGUGAUGCUUUGUUGUUACGUACAAUUUUACGAAUGAAAAAAACUCACGGUGGGAAAGGGGUUAUGAUACCGAGUCAUUUUUUAUAUGAAGCUCAAGUUGCCAUUGAAGCGGAGUUCGGUUUUCGGUUCACAUGGGACGAACUAUAUGAGCGUCUUCAUUCGUUGGAGUUUCGGUACCAAACUAUUAAGAAGGUUUUAGCCAUUCAUGGUAACACUAGAAUGUCCAUGACAACAAUAUGAUAGUUUCGGAAAAGGAGUGUAAAGACAUAUUCAAGGUUUGUAGUUUAUUUAAGAAUUUUUUUUAUUAAUUUAAGCUUGCUAA